GCUUUGUGUUCUUAGAUUUAAUGAGAUAAAGCCUUGCACUUCACAUAUAGAUCCAGAAUCAGUUGAUCAUAUCACUUAAAAGAGUUUAUUUGGGGCUAAUCUUGUGGGCUAUGCUCUUUUCAAGGAUUUUGAACUUUAGGCCCCUGAUAAGGAUUGCUGCUUUGGCAAUGUUGAUUGACACUCAUCUCCAGAAUGCUUUGUAGGUCCAGCAAACAAAAAGCAAGUAGUAUUGACAGAGAUUGACAGGCCAUUCUAUAAUUUGUUCAUUUAUAGAACUAGUCCAGAACAUCUUUGAUGUCUGUAAUUAUACCAGGGACAAAGGGGAAAAAAGAUUACUCUUUGGCCCGCAGAGAUCUUGCCUCUCAACGUUGUAAACCUCUCAAUUCAGUAAA
This 392-nucleotide unclassified non-coding RNA is filed under the name Hevea brasiliensis (rubber tree). The record is from RNAcentral. Lineage: Eukaryota; Viridiplantae; Streptophyta; Magnoliopsida; Malpighiales; Euphorbiaceae.